This 468-nucleotide ribosomal RNA is filed under the name uncultured bacterium. RNAcentral describes it as "partial 16S ribosomal RNA". It matches the Rfam family "Bacterial small subunit ribosomal RNA", at positions 28 to 507 of the family's 1533-position model. The record is from RNAcentral.
GACGAACGCUGGCGGCGUGCUUAACACAUGCAAGUCGAACGGGAAGGCCCUGCUUUUGUGGGGUGCUCGAGUGGCGAACGGGAGAGUAACGCGUGAGUAACCUGCCCUGGACUUUGGGAUAAGUUCAGGAAACUAGGGCUAAUACCUGAUAUGAGCUCCUGCUGCAUGGUAGGGGUAGGAAAGUUUCGGCGGUUGGGGAUGGACUCGCGGGUUAUCGGCUUGUUGGUGAGGUAGUGGCUUACCAAGGCUUGGACGGGUAGCCGGCCGGAGGGGGGGACCGGCCACAUGGGGACUGAGAUACGGCCGAGAGUCGUACGGGAGGCAGCAGUAGGGACGAUUGAAUAAUGCGCGGAAGCCGGAUGCAGCAACGCUGCGUUCUGGAUGAUAGACUUCGGUUAUAAAACAGCUAUCGCCUGUGACGAAACGUUAGUGACGGUAAUGUAUAAAUAAGCACCGGCUAACUCCGUG